This 1544-nucleotide ribosomal RNA is filed under the name uncultured prokaryote. RNAcentral's name for it is "partial 16S ribosomal RNA". It matches the Rfam family "Bacterial small subunit ribosomal RNA". The record is from RNAcentral.
GAGUUUGAUCCUGGCUCAGAUUGAACGCUGGCGGUAUGCUUAACACAUGCAAGUCGAACGGUAACAGAGGAAAGCUUGCUUUCUUGCUGACGAGUGGCGGACGGGUGAGUAAUACAUAGGAAUCUGCCUAGUAGUGGGGGACAACUUGGGGAAACUCGAGCUAAUACCGCAUACGCCCUACGGGGGAAAGCGGGGGAUCUUCGGACCUCGCGCUAUUGGAUGAGCCUAUGUCAGAUUAGCUUGUUGGUGAGGUAAAGGCUCACCAAGGCUACGAUCUGUAGCUGGUCUGAGAGGACGAUCAGCCACACUGGGACUGAGACACGGCCCAGACUCCUACGGGAGGCAGCAGUGGGGAAUAUUGGACAAUGGGCGCAAGCCUGAUCCAGCAAUGCCGCGUGUGUGAAGAAGGCCUGAGGGUUGUAAAGCACUUUCAGUAGGGAAGAAAGGUCUAACGUUAAUAGCGUUGGACUGUGACGUUACCUACAGAAGAAGCACCGGCUAACUCCGUGUCAGCAGCCGCGGUAAUACGGAGGGUGCGAGCGUUAAUCGGAAUUACUGGGCGUAAAGCGCACGUAGGCGGUUUAGUAAGUCGAAUGUGAAAGCCCUGGGCUCAACCUGGGAACUGCAUUCGAUACUGCUUAACUAGAGUAUGACAGAGGAAUGUGGAAUUCCGGGUGUAGCGGUGAAAUGCGUAGAUAUCCGGAGGAACACAGUGGCGGAGGACACCAGUGGCGAAGGCGACAUUCUGGGUUAAUACUGACGCUGAGGUGCGAAAGCGUGGGGAGUAAACAGGAUUAGAUAUCCUGGUAGUCCACGCCGUAAAUGAUGUCAACUAGCCGUUGGGGGGUUUGACCCUUUAGUGGCGCAGCUAACGCGUUAAGUUGACCGCCUGGGGAGUACGGGCUAAAACUCAAAUGAAUUGACGGGGGCCCGCACAAGCGGUGGAGCAUGUGGUUUAAUUCGAUGCAACGCGAAGAACCUUACCAGGCCUUGACAUCCUGAGAACUUUCUAGAGAUAGAUUGGUGCCUUCGGGAAUUCAGUGACAGGUGCUGCAUGGCUGUCGUCAGCUCGUGUCGUGAGAUGUUGGGUUAAGUCCCGCAACGAGCGCAACCCUUGUCCUUAGUUGCCAGCACGUAAUGGUGGGAACUCUAAGGAGACUGCCGGUGACAAACCGGAGGAAGGUGGGGAUGACGUCAAGUCAUCAUGGCCCUUAUGGGCUGGGCUACACACGUGCUACAAUGGUGAAUACAAAGGGUUGCCAACCCGCGAGGGGGAGCUAAUCUCAAAAAAUUCAUCUCAGUCCGGAUUGGAGUCUGCAACUCGACUCCAUGAAGUCGGAAUCGCUAGUAAUCGUGAAUCAGCAAUGUCGCGGUGAAUACGUUCCCGGGCCUUGUACACACCGCCCGUCACACCAUGGGAGUUGGCUGCACCAGAAGUAGGUAGCUUACCCUUCGGGAGGACGGUCACCACUUUGUGAUUCAUGACUGGGGUGAAGUCGUAACAAGGUAGCCGUAGGGGAACCUGCGGCUGGAUCACCUCCUAU